AUGCGCAGAGGCACGCGGCGGUGUUGUUCCUCGCUCUACGCAGCAAAUCCGCCGAGCUUUGUUAUGGUUAGUCCUCGAGGCAACAGAGCGCAUGCACCAGGACACUCAUAACUAGCAUUCAAAUCUACAAAGCCUCUAGGUGCAUGCGAGCAGUCGAUUCGUGGAGCUUGCUUCGGGAACAGACUAUUCUGACUCCUAGCGGCCCCUGCGCCCCUCGCGCGCGUAAUGAGGAGUCGAAAACAACGCACGCGUAGGUCUGCAGUGACUGCAGCAGUUGCUCGAGCUCUUCCCACUGCAGGAGCUCAGAACUGACAAGAACCCUGACCAAAGCAGCGACUUCAGCAAUCCCGUGUCGUACCGCAGCAGAAAUGGGGCACUGCCGUACGUCAGCGAUCUCUGACUCAAGCACAGGGGCUGCACGAAGGACACACGCUGCAGCCUCCCUGUUUCUGUGGGGUUUGGGAUUGAUGUUUGAGCCAAAAGGCCUCAUGGUGCCAUACAGGCAGGUGCUGGGUUCACCCACUGAGGACGCCAAAUCCUAAAAUAAUGUCACAGCGGUCUUUAAUUGCUGUGGGAGGAGAUGACGUGCAUUUCUCCCUGGGGAGCUGUAAGCUGACCCCACAGUGUGGCAGACAGCACCAAAAAGGGAUGCCAUCCUGUACUUUCCUACCCUAGUAAAUCCUGGUUCUGCUGGUACACCUCUUGUACCUGGAGCUGGCUCUCCAUCUGGCUGAGACGUCAUCUUUAACACUUCAAAACAAGCCUAAGGAGAGAAGAUUUUGGUGAUGUGACAUGAAAACAGACAGCACAAAUAUAGACCAGGAUAACAGAAGAUGUACACGCUGGGUGUUGAAUAUCAUUUGGAAACCAAACCCCAGUUACUUGACAGUCCAGGAAAUUUUUCACAGCUGAGCCAUUGUGUUUUCUUCAGAAGUUAGAAAUAAGAUUGGCAGAUCCAUGUCCGUAUUCACCCACGCAGCAAAGUACUGGAAGAACUGCAUUAUUUCAUCCCACUCUUCAGUGAGUUUCUAUUAUUUACCAUGUAAGAACAACUUCUUUGUAAUGCCUCCCUUGUAGAAAAAUGACAUGUUUAUCUGUUGCGGCUGAAGAUACUAGGUGGGAGCCUGCUCAAUAUCUUUCUUUGUAUUCAAUUUGCAGUGUCAUUAGGGGACAUACAGCACCAUGUCUCUUUAACCUUUCUCAGCCACCAACCACUUUUUUUCUUCAUGAAUUUUCAGUUAUUCUCAAAGUAUUUGGAGCACAUAGUAAUGGGAAUGUCUGAUAGCUUUUUAUCCAACGGUUGUUUAACCCAUAGUGAAAUCACUUGUCUACAUGAAUGUUGUUACUAGAUGAUGUUGCAUAUUAACAGGAGUAAGAGGUAAAAACAUGAGUAAAGUGCAAGAUAUUUCAUGAUAAAAUCAGCAAACACUCCAGGCAUAGCAAUUAUAGCCUGAUUAUUCUAUGGAAACAUGGACAUAUGCAUGAAACAUCUAUAUACAUGAAACAAUUCUAUUAAGCAUGUUAAAAUAACUGAAAGUAAAUUUGUCCCAAGAAAACAUACGUAACUAAGCUUCUGCUUGGCUUUAAGAUGCACACACAUUAUUUCUCUGACUUGGAAAGACAAGCAUGUGUGAUACUUUACUGAGUACUGAGUUAUUUCAGCUUUCUGGGAGCUGUAUACUAAUGCUGUGUGGUCAGAAGUCUUCUGAAAUGAGGAUUUGAUACUCCGACAUCAGUGAACAGCAUAGUGCUACUGAUCUGUAACCUCUCAGCAGCAAAAUGGAGAAAUCCAUGUAAUCGAUUCAGUGUCUGUGAGGAGAAGCAACACCUUUUAAUACACCACCUCAGAGUGCUGGAAGAAAAAAUAGACAAAUUUUAUUUUACCUGCUUCAUCAAAGUACAUACAAUGGCAUUUGUUUGAGAGAAGAAUGAACUCCUUUAUAUUGCAGAUGGAAGGACAGAACCUGCCUGUACAAAUCUGCAUGAAUACAUGGCAGAAUACCUUAGCCAUGAGCAGAUAACUCUUUUCUUAAAAGCGCAACUUUUGACACUCUUGACAGCAAUACCUGAAACGCAGUUUGUGAGUCUUGGAAAAGGAAGGCAGACGGAAAAAAGACACCAUUUAGUCUGGAUUUGAUUAACAUUACUCUGUUGCUUUCAGUUGGUUGCAGAACUUAACUUCUACAAUGACAGGGGGCGUCAUUGACACUUGACAUCAUGUCUCUUUGAAAUUCUAGGCCCCUUUCAGUCAAAUUUGGCAGAGAGGAAAGAGUUUUGAAAAUGUUUUGGUUUUGUUUUUUAUUUAUUUAUUGAAGAGGAUAAUGAUCCAGUUGUAGCAAUAACAUAUUUCUAUUUGAAAAGUGAGUCCUAGUGGUAUUCCCCAAGAUCUAUUUUUGAGCGUUUUUCAGACUUCACAUAUAGGAACUUCCUACCAGGUCAGUGACAGGUGAACACAGCUCCAACAGAUAGCUGAUCUCUGUGAAGGAUAAAAUGCACACAAGGCAUGCGAUUCUGAAGUUCAAAGGAGAUUUCAAAUGGUUGUAUUUCAGUAUGCUUAAAUAAUGUUCUACCUAUUCUGCACUUCCUUAGAAAAAUUUAAAAUCUAUUUUUCAGUAAUUAUCUUUUUUUCAUUUAAGAAGACCUUCCAAUAAUUCAUAAGCUUUACCUUCAUUAUCCCGUGUUCAUUUUUAUAGUUCCUCAUUGCAGAAAACUGAUGUGGCCCAAUUUCACUAGCCAUGACAACACUGAGCAGACACAUCCGUGCUAAUAGACACGGCCACAAAGGGGUGCAGAGUUCAGUUGACAGCUACAUCCUAGCACAAUAAUGGUAAUCAGGAUACUGUAGGAACAAAGUAGUUAUCUCCAAAUUGUACAAGGUAUCAGCACUUUUUCCUAACUUCUAAAGCCUCCUCCUACUUCUGUUUACAUUGCCUGACCUCUGUGAAUUUGACAACUACUGCCACUACCCACACACACACAUACAAAAGGGUAAUCAGAUGACUGUACUAGGCUUGUGAGAUUUCUAAUAAUGUCUCUUACCCAUUCUCCAGGGAAACCAAAGGCUUCCUGAUGUGUUGGAUCUGGUUUACAUAUCAGGCCCUCUUUUUGCCUCGGAAGGUUGUCACCCAGAUCAACAGCCCUUCUUUUUUGUCUUGAUAGAGGAGCUCACAAUAUCGGAGACAGGUUGACUAUCUAAGGUGACCCUCCAGCCUCUUUCUCUUCCUUUGAUAUCUCAGAAAAAAUGUGUAAUUUAUAUUUGCAUUAAAAGACAAUUUUUCAUUUUUUGUAUCAUCAAUAGCACUGGGACUUAGCAUUACCUUUUGGGCUUUUGAUGACCUAGAGUAUAAAGAUAUCUUUCCUUCAAGUAUUUCUGAUGUACAGUCAAAUCAAAUAUUUUCCUUUGAGCUGUUUUAAAAGAGUUUGGCAGCAUUGAAUGGUUUUUGGUACUAAAUCCAGUUCUUUGAUCUUCCUCCAACAUUACCUAAUUCUGUUUAUAGUUGUUGUGUUGAAGUGGAAAGAACUGACUUGUGGAUAAGACAAAGCAGUACUCCCCUAGCAUCUGAUUCACCAACUGCUCUUGCAUACAUGCAGUUUCUCCAAAGGCGAUAAAGGAUUACAUAUUUUCUAUGGAUAUUUUCUAUGAGAAUUCUUUUUUUGCCUUUGAAUAUACAAAAUCUGAACAUCCAUGCUGCUUGUGAUUUCAUGCUCCUUCUGAAAAUUCUUGCUUUUUUCCAGACAAGAAAACGUAUAUUUGUGUGAUCCGUGUUUUCUUAUUUUUAGAUAAAGUGAUGACCGUUAGUCUGCUCAGUAAGACUGACAUUCACUACCUAAUUUUUCCAUAAGAGUGCAAUCCUUAUUCUUGAGAUGUAGUUAAUAUAGCAAGGCUAGAAAUGAUGGAAGCCACACCGAGCUUGGUCUCUACUUUAAAGGUAUCAUUUUAAAUCAUAUGUAUUGAAAGUGAAAAUUUCUGUAAGCUAGUUGAGCUGAUUUUGAUAGCAUAUGUUUAAAGCGUUGAUCUGAAUGAUCUUUUGUAAAAUCUGGUGAUAUUCAGAAGGCAGACACCUUUGAAGUCUAUAGAACAAUAUCACUCAGUUAUACCAGUACACCAUGUGGAUUAAUAUCCACAUUUGCUCAUGUUACUCAUCCUUUUAACUGAAGGUUGGGUUUCAUUAUAUUAUUGAAGUUAAGGGAAAUAAAGUAAAAUUGAUUUUCAAAUGGAUUCUAAGAUUUCAUUUGUGUUUUUAAUCCCUCUUUAGAGGAAGACAUCAUGUCAAGUGAUGCAGUUUUACACAGUAGAUUGAGGCCAUGAUCUUGGCUUUAUAAACAAAUACAGCAACAGUGGUAGUGAGAAUCCAUGAUUUUAUUUUCAUGCAGCUUGAAUGGUCUUUUCGUACUUUUAUUUAAUUAUUAU
Centrocercus urophasianus (Greater sage-grouse) is the source of this 4411-nucleotide long non-coding RNA. RefSeq lists it as uncharacterized. The record is from RefSeq and is a predicted model, not a curated record. NCBI's taxonomy places the organism in Eukaryota, Metazoa, Chordata, Aves, Galliformes, Phasianidae. The transcript is spliced from 4 exons.